GACGAACGCUGGCGGCGUGCUUAACACAUGCAAGUCGAACGGAAAGGCCCUGCUUUUGUGGGGUGCUCGAGUGGCGAACGGGUGAGUAACACGUGAGUAACCUGCCCUUGACUUUGGGAUAACUUCAGGAAACUGGGGCUAAUACCGGAUAGGAGCUCCUGCUGCAUGGUGGGGGUUGGAAAGUUUCGGCGGUUGGGGAUGGACUCGCGGCUUAUCAGCUUGUUGGUGGGGUAGUGGCUUACCAAGGCUUUGACGGGUAGCCGGCCUGAGAGGGUGACCGGCCACAUUGGGACUGAGAUACGGCCCAGACUCCUACGGGAGGCAGCAGUGGGGAAUAUUGCACAAUGGGCGGAAGCCUGAUGCAGCAACGCCGCGUGCGGGAUGACGGCCUUCGGGUUGUAAACCGCUUUCGCCUGUGACGAAGCGUGAGUGACGGUAAUGGGUAAGGAAGCACCGGCUAACUACGUG
RNAcentral lists this ribosomal RNA (468 nucleotides) under uncultured bacterium. RNAcentral's name for it is "partial 16S ribosomal RNA". It matches the Rfam family "Bacterial small subunit ribosomal RNA", at positions 28 to 507 of the family's 1533-position model. The record is from RNAcentral.